Molecule: ribosomal RNA, 326 nt
Filed under: Rhioxyna zoppei
Lineage: Eukaryota; Metazoa; Arthropoda; Arachnida; Opiliones; Gonyleptidae
Description: partial 12S ribosomal RNA
Source: RNAcentral
CCCUAUUAUUGGAUUAACUAUUAAUAAUUAUUAUAUAUUAUGAAAUUUAAAAAUUUUGGCAGUUGAUUGAAAUUUUAGAGGAGCUUGUUUUGUAAAUGAGAAUUUGCUCUUUAUAUUUUAUUAAAUUGAAGGUUUAUUCAUCUCCGUUAUUAGAAACUAAUUGUAAUAAAUUAAUUUUUAAUUUCAGGUCAAGAUGUAGCUUAAAUUAAUAUAAAUUAGCUACAUUUUAUUAUAAACGGAUUUAUUAAGGUAAAAUUUUUUAGAUGAAGUUGAAUUUAAUUGUAAUAAUAAAAAGGAUAUUAUUAUGAAGAAUGAAGAUUAAUGUA